AACGAACGCUGGCGGCAGGCCUAACACAUGCAAGUCGAACGCCGUAGCAAUACGGAGUGGCAGACGGGUGAGUAACACGUGGGAACGUACCCUUCGGUUCGGGAUAACUCAGGGAAACUUGAGCUAAUACCGGAUACGUCCGAGAGGAGAAAGAUUUAUCGCCGAGGGAUCGGCCCGCGUCUGAUUAGCUUGUUGGUGAGGUAACGGCUCACCAAGGCGACGAUCAGUAGCUGGCUGAGAGGAUGAUCAGCCACAUUGGGACUGAGACACGGCCCAAACUCCUACGGGAGGCAGCAGUGGGGAAUAUUGGACAAUGGGCGCAAGCCUGAUCCAGCCAUGCCGCGUGAGUGAUGAAAGGCCCUAGGGUUGUAAAGCUCUUUUACCCGGGAAGAUAAUGACUGUACCGGGAGAAUAAGCCCCGGCUAACUUCGUGCCAGCCGCCGCGGUAA
RNAcentral lists this ribosomal RNA (449 nucleotides) under uncultured bacterium. RNAcentral describes it as "bacterial SSU rRNA". It matches the Rfam family "Bacterial small subunit ribosomal RNA", at positions 29 to 523 of the family's 1533-position model. The record is from RNAcentral.